Molecule: ribosomal RNA, 405 nt
Filed under: uncultured bacterium
Lineage: Bacteria
Description: bacterial SSU rRNA
Rfam family: Bacterial small subunit ribosomal RNA
Source: RNAcentral
UGGGGAAUAUUGCACAAUGGGCGCAAGCCUGAUGCAGCAACGCCGCGUGAGGGACGACGGCCUUCGGGUUGUAAACCUCUUUUAGCAGGGAAGAAGCGAAAGUGACGGUACCUGCAGAAAAAGCACCGGCUAACUACGUGCCAGCAGCCGCGGUAAUACGUAGGGUGCAAGCGUUAUCCGGAAUUAUUGGGCGUAAAGAGCUCGUAGGCGGUUUGUCGCGUCUGCUGUGAAAACCCGAGGCUCAACCUCGGGCCUGCAGUGGGUACGGGCAGACUAGAGUGCGGUAGGGGAGAUUGGAAUUCCUGGUGUAGCGGUGGAAUGCGCAGAUAUCUGGAGGAACACCGGUGGCGAAGGCGCUGCUCUGGGCCGGUACUGACGCUGAGGAGCGAAAGCGUGGGUAGCAAA